Molecule: ribosomal RNA, 253 nt
Filed under: uncultured bacterium
Lineage: Bacteria
Description: partial 16S ribosomal RNA
Rfam family: Bacterial small subunit ribosomal RNA
Source: RNAcentral
UACGUAGGGUGCAAGCGUUAAUCGGAAUUACUGGGCGUAAAGCGUGCGCAGGCGGUGAUGUAAGACAGUUGUGAAAUCCCCGGGCUCAACCUGGGAACUGCAUCUGUGACUGCAUCGCUGGAGUGCGGCAGAGGGGGAUGGAAUUCCGCGUGUAGCAGUGAAAUGCGUAGAUAUGCGGAGGAACACCGAUGGCGAAGGCAAUCCCCUGGGCCUGCACUGACGCUCAUGCACGAAAGCGUAGGGAGCAAACAGG